Molecule: ribosomal RNA, 499 nt
Filed under: uncultured bacterium
Lineage: Bacteria
Description: partial 16S ribosomal RNA
Rfam family: Bacterial small subunit ribosomal RNA
Source: RNAcentral
AUUGAACGCUGGCGGCAUGCCUUACACAUGCAAGUCGAACGGCAGCACGGGAGCAAUCCUGGUGGCGAGUGGCGAACGGGUGAGUAAAGUAUCGGAACGUGCCCAGUCGUGGGGGAUAACGUAGCGAAAGUUAAGCUAUACCGCAUACGAUCUAUGGAUGAAAGCGGGGGAUCGCAAGACCUCGCGCGAUUGGAGCGGCCGAUAACAGAUUAGGUAGUUGGUGGGGUAAAGGCUCACCAAGCCGACGAUCUGUAGCUGGUCUGAGAGGACGACCAGCCACACUGGGACUGAGACACGGCCCAGACUCCUACGGGAGGCAGCAGUGGGGAAUUUUGGACAAUGGGCGAAAGCCUGAUCCAGCCAUGCCGCGUGCAGGAUGAAGGCCUUCGGGUUGUAAACUGCCUUUGUACGGAACGAAAAGGUUUGGCCUAAUAAGCUGAGCUCAUGACGGUACCGUAAGAAUAAGCACCGGCUAACUACGUGCCAGCAGCCGCCGCGG